GGCAGUUUUGCUAGGUAAAGCGAAUGAUUAGAGGUAUUGGGG
RNAcentral lists this ribosomal RNA (42 nucleotides) under Oxyrrhis marina. RNAcentral's name for it is "partial Eukaryotic large subunit ribosomal RNA". Lineage: Eukaryota; Dinophyceae; Oxyrrhinales; Oxyrrhinaceae. The record is from RNAcentral.